Molecule: long non-coding RNA, 4038 nt
Filed under: Homo sapiens (human)
Lineage: Eukaryota; Metazoa; Chordata; Mammalia; Primates; Hominidae
Description: HSALNT0246287
Source: RNAcentral
GUUGGUCACACAGGGGGUCCUGUGCCCAAUGCAGUGGACUCUUGGGCCUUAGAAUGAAGUUCUGAUCCACACGGCAGCACCGACGGACCUUGGGCACUGUGCUGUGUGAAAUAAGCAGACAGAUGCUGUGUGGCAGCACUUACAGGGGCAUCCUGAGCGACUUUGUGGAGACAGCUCUUAGGGCUGGGGAGGGAGGGAUGCGGGAAGGGGGCGGGAGCUGGAGGGUGGAGGGCUCUUUCUGAGAUGAGGAAAUGAUCUAAAACUGCCUGCGGUGACGGCUGCACAGCUCUGAAGAUGCAGAAACUCGCUGAGCUGGACGCAUUCUGAAUUGUGUGGUAUGUGAAUUAUGUCUCAGUAAAGCCAUUAAAAAAAAACACCCAGGAGCCAGGCGCAGUGGCUCAUGCCUAUAAUCCCAGCACUUUGGGAGGCGGAGGCAGGCGGAUCAUCUGAGGUCAGGAGUUGGAGACCAGCCUGACCAACAUGGUGUAACCUCGUCUCUGCUAAAAUACAAAAAUUAGCUGGGUGUUGUGGCGGGCACCUUUAAUCCUGGCUACUUGGGAGGCUGAGGCAGGAGAAUUGCUUGAACCUGGGAACGGGAGGUUGCAGUGAGCCAAGAUCGCGCCAUUGCACUCCAGCCUGGGCGACAGAGCGAGACUCCGUCUCAAAAAAACAAAACAAAACAAAACAGCCAGGCAACCAAGUAGACAAUGGAGGGAGGGGGUGACAGCUGAGGACGCCCAUUGUCUGCUGGUGCUCCAGGCGGUGCUCCCCACUCCCAGCCCAGUCGCCCCCUGCUCCUGGCCUGGAUUUGAGGCCUAGAGAGACACCUGCCCUCCCCCGGAUCCGUGCCCCGCAGAAGUGCAGUCUUGGUGCCCAAAUGUGCGCCCGCUGGGGCAGAGGAGAAUCCGCGGGGCCUGAAGCAGAAUCGCGCCCUCCCCCCAACCUGCCGGCUGCCCGGGCGCUCCCCAUGGGCCCAGACGCAGGAGACAAAGGAGAACAUGGGGGUUCAGGCAUCUAAGCCGGGCACAUUGGCCCAAGCCUGUAAUCCCAGCACUUUGGGAGGCCGAGGCAGGCGGAUCACUUAAGCUCAGGAGUUCGAAACCAGCCUGGCCAAGAUGGUGAAACCCCAUCUCUACUAAAAAUACAAAAGAUUAGCCGGCUGUGAUGACGCGCACCUGUAAUCUCAGCUACUCGGGAGGCUGAGGCACGAGAAUCGCUUGCACCCAGGAGGUGGAGGCUGCAGUGAGCCGAGAUCACGCCAGGGCACUCCGGCCUGGGCGACAGAGUGAGACUUCGUCUCAAGAAAAACCAAAAAUCCAAAAGAACUACAGGCAUCGGCUGUGUCCCCACUAGGAAGCCGGAGGGGAGCAGGGCUGGGUGUGUCUUCUCUGGCUGCGUCCCUGCGGCCACAAGGCCUGUUCUUCCUCUGUGCCCCGCCUGCCAAGGACCCAGCCUUGUGAAGGAUGGAUGAAUGAAUCAUUGAGCAAAUGAAUGAGUGUGUGAACAGGGAGAGUCUGCAGCAGGGAGACCCCGGCAGCUUCGAGUAUGGAGGGGAGACUCUGGCCGCCUGAGAGCUGGCUGCCAGGUGCUGAGCCGCCCCAAGAAAAAGCCCUCGUGGCAAGAAACUGAGGCCUCCAGCCAGCAGUCAGGGACCCGAGGCCUGAGACGGUGGAGGGUGAGCUUGCAAAGGGACCCCACAGUCGGGCCUUGAGAGGCCCACGGGCCUGGCCCACACCUCGGCUGCAGCCUUGUGAAGGUCCCUGAGCAGGGGACCCAGACUUCUGUCCUACAGAAACUUGGAGAUAAUAAAUGCCUGCUCUUCUACGGCACUGAGUGUCGGGUGAUUUGUUACGGGCAGUAGACAGCUAAUACCUGCCCCUUAGGACACCAAGUCCUCGCCUCCUGGAGGCCCAAGCCCCAGGGAGCCAUGCCUGACUUGCCGCCUGUCGAUGGGCCACGCGUUCCUUGUUGAUGCCAUUCUGGGGUCCCCUCACCCUGACAUACUAGGAGCCAGUUCCGAGGGAGGCUCUUCUGCCACCAACCCUGGCCCAGGGGGACACUGAGCUCCUUGAUGCUGAGGGCCGGUGGUUCCUUAUCGCCUGGCGACCAGCGUGUCCUCCGGGUCCUUUUCCAAUACCAGCACCUCCCAGCUCAAAAACACAACCCAGCACUCCUGUUCCUCCGUCUCCCGGCCCUCCCUCGACACUGGGCCGAGGCAGCCUGUGCACCUGCCCCAAGCUCCCAGGAGCUGACCCAGCAGCGGAUUCGGCCUGGUUCCCGGCAUCCUUACCGGGAUUUGGAAAAUGCUCCUUUCAAUCAAUAAAGGCCCCACGCGGGCCUUCUUCCGCCCUCCCCUCCAGCAUCCUCCAUCUCCAUUUCCACCCGUCCUCCCCGUCCUGCCAGGCCGCAGCUCCUUGCAGAAUAACCCACACCCUCCAGUCGCAGGGACAGAACACCCUAGUUACUGGCCUAGAAUUUUGCGGGGGACGAGGACAGGCAGACCCUAAGGAGGACACUCGCCUCAGGUGAGACCUUUGCAAGGUCCCGGCAGUGGGAGCCACUCCCGCCACUGCGGAGGGAACAGAGGGCAGGGAUCUAAGAGGCUUCUACCCAAAUACCGCAUCCAGGUCAUAGCGUCCCACCCCCCGCUGCCACCGGGGCCCUGACUUCAACACGGGAGGCAGACCAGACGCCACCGCCCUGGGAUCAGAGCUUGGGCCCGAGGGUUGGCCCCGUCUGCACUCUGGCUUUCGGAAUGAGGCUCGCUGUCAAUGCUGUGGUGGAGCUGCAUUCGUUUCCGGGGCUUCUAUAACAAGGUGCCAUAGAACAGGGCUCCAACAGCAGCCCAUUCUCCCACUGUCCUGGAGGCUGGAAGUUCGAGACCAAGGUGCCUGCAGAGUUGGUUCCUCCUGAGGCCUUUCUCCCUGGCUUGUAGAUGGCCCUCUUCUCCUGACUCCUCACACAGAGUCAUCCCUCUGUGUGUAUCUGUGUCCUAGUCUCUCUUCUUUUUCUUUUCGCUUCUUCUUUUUUUUUUUUUGAAGACAGGGUCUCUCUCUCUCUGUCACCCAGGCUGGAGUGCAGUGGUGUUAUCAUAGCUCACUGCAGCCUAGACCUCCCAGGCUCAGGUGAUGCUCCUACCUCAGCCUCCCAAGUAGCUGGGACCACAGACAUGUGUCACCACACCCGACUAAUUUUUUAUAUUUUGUUGUAGAGAUGGGGUCUCACUAUGUUGCCCAGGCUCAACUGGCUUUAAGCCAUCCUCCCACCUCGACCUUCCAAAGUGUUGGGAUUACAGGUGUGAGCCACUGAGCCUGGCCCUUAUCUCUUUUUCUCAGGACACGACUCAGGCCGGGCGUGGUGGCUCAUGCCUAUAAUCCCAGCACAUUGGGAGGCCAAGACGGGCGGAUCACCUGAGGUCAGGAGUUCCAGACCAGCCUGGUCAGCAUGGUGAAACCCCGUCUCUACUAAAAAUAUAAAAAUUAGCCAGGUGUGGUGGCCAGCGCCUGUAAUCCCAGCUACUCGGGAGGCUGAGGCAGGAGAAUCGCUUGAACCCAGGAGGCGGAGGUUGCAGUGAGCCAAGAUCGCACCAUUGCACUCUAGCCUGGGUGACAGAGUGGGACUCCGUCUCAAAAAAUAAAAAAAGUGGGGGAUGGGGGUGGGGGUGGGGGUGGGCCAGGCGCGGUGGCUCACGCCUGUAAUCCCAUCACUUUGGGAGGCCGAGACGGGUGGAUCACCUGAGGUCAGAAGUUCGAGACCAGCCUGACCAACAUGGGGAAACUUCAUCUCUACUAAAAAAUACAAAAAUUAGCCGGGUGUGGUGGUGGGUGCCUGUAAUCCCAGGUGCUCAGGAGGCGAAGCAGAAGAAUCACUUGAACCCAAGAGGUGGAGGUUGCAGUGAGCCAAGCUCGUGACACUGCACUCCAGACUGGGUGACAGAGCAAGACUUCAUUUCAAAGGAAAAAAAAAACAAGGCCAGCGGUCAUGUGGGAACAGGACUCGCUGUAAUCCCCUCUUUAAAGGCCAUAUCUGUAAAUACAG